This 990-nucleotide ribosomal RNA is filed under the name uncultured bacterium. Its description in RNAcentral is "bacterial SSU rRNA". It matches the Rfam family "Bacterial small subunit ribosomal RNA", at positions 1 to 988 of the family's 1533-position model. The record is from RNAcentral.
CCCCUUAGAGUUUGAUCAUGGCUCAAAACGAACGUUAGCGGCGCGCCUAACACAUGCAAGUCGCACGAGAAAGGGCUUCCGCCCCGGUAAAGUGGCGCACGGGUGAGUAACACGUGGGUAAUCUGCCCUCGAGCGGGGGAUAACAUUCCGAAAGGAGUGCUAAUACCGCAUAAGACCACGAUCUCGAAAGAGGUUGAGGUCAAAGCUGGCCUCUAUACAUAAGCUAGCACUUGAGGAUGACCCCGCGGCGCAUCAGGUAGUUGGUGAGGUAAUGGCUCACCAAGCCUAAGACGCGUAGCUGGUCUGAGAGGAUGAUCAGCCACACUGGGACUGAGACACGGCCCACACUCCUACGGGAGGCAGCAGUGGGGAAUAUUGGACAAUGGGCGAAAGCCUGAUCCAGCAAUGCCGCGUGAGUGAUGAAGGCCCUAAGGUUGUAAAGCUCUUUUACCCGGGAUGAUAAUGACAGUACCGGGAGAAUAAGCUCCGGCUAACUCCGUGCCAGCAGCCGCGGUAAUACGGAGGGAGCUAGCGUUGUUCGGAAUUACUGGGCGUAAAGCGCGCGUAGGCUGCUUUUUAAGUCAGAGGUGAAAGCCCGGGGCUCAACCCCCGGAAUUGCCUUUGAAACUGGAAAGCUAGAAUCUUGGAGAGGUCAGUGGAAUUCCGAGUGUAGAGGUGAAAUUCGUAUAUAUUCAGAAGACACCAGUGGCGAAGGCGACUGACUGGACAAGUAUUGACGCUGAGGUGCGAAAGCGUGGAGGAGCAAACAGGAUUAGAUACCCCUGGUAGUCCCACGCCAGUAACGAUGAUAACUAGCUGUCCGGGCUCAUAGAGCGUGGGGCGCGCAGCUAACGCAUUUAAGUCAUCCGCCUGGGAGAGUACCGUCGCAUGAUUACUACUCAAGGUAGUGAACGGCGGCUUGCACAGCGAGGAAACCAUGUGAUCAAGUUCCGAAGCCAACGCGACAGAAUCCUACCCAGGGCGUCUGUC